This 482-nucleotide ribosomal RNA is filed under the name uncultured bacterium. RNAcentral describes it as "partial 16S ribosomal RNA". It matches the Rfam family "Bacterial small subunit ribosomal RNA", at positions 30 to 507 of the family's 1533-position model. The record is from RNAcentral.
AUUGAACGCUGGCGGCAUGCUUUACACAUGCAAGUCGAACGGUAACAGGCCGCAAGGUGCUGACGAGUGGCGAACGGGUGAGUAAUGCAUCGGAACGUGCCCAGUCGUGGGGGAUAACUACUCGAAAGAGUAGCUAAUACCGCAUACGAUCUAUGGAUGAACGCGGGGGACCGUAAGGCCUCGUGCGAUUGGUGCGGCCGAUGUCAGAUUAGGUAGUUGGUGGGGUAAAGGCUCACAAAGACAACGAUCUGUAGCUGGACUGAGAGGGCGAGCAGCCACACUGGAACUGAGACACGGCCCAGACUCCUACGGGAGGCAGCAGUGGGGAAUUUUGGACAAUGGUCGCGAGCCUGAUCCAGCAAUGCCGCGUGCAGGAAGAAGGCCUUCGGGUUGUAAACUGCUUUUGUACGGAGCGAAACGGCUCUGGUUAAUACCCGGGGCUAAUGACGGUACCGGAAGAAUAAGCACCGGCUAACUACGUG